GUUGCGGACGAGACAGGUAGACGGAGUCUUACAUGGAUGGCAACGGAAAAAUGCCAUGCGUGUUCAUUAUUUCGGUUUGUCAGUGAGCAGCUAAUGGAAGAUUAAAUACUGUAAUCAAUCGUGGAAUGUUUAAGGUAAGAGUAUGAAGUAUAUACCAGAAGCAACGCCAGCUAUGCAUAUUACGCUCCAGAGAUGGCGUUCGGUUCCAAAUCGCCACUACGCUCUGGUAUAUGACACUUUUCACUCGCCACUCUGCUCUGGAUCCGGCCUUGCUAACGGAUUGGCGCUGUCUGUUGCUGUACUGGUGGUGAACAUAACUCCAUCUUGAGAGCUUAACAUACGGAGCUUAAACUCUUCUCAGCAACAUGUAACUCAUUUAUUUCUUCUAGUAUACUUCGUGGCAAGAGCAUGAAACUAUGAAACCGGCAUUCAAAGUUUACUACAUCAACAUUUAGUAAACUGGUGGUUUCGCUAGAUGGCAAGCCGCUGCAAACUCUAACUGAAAGACGGGUAUGACAAUUAUCUUGCGACUUGUGACAGUCAUACUGUAGGUAUCGUUUAAUGUCUAACCCGUUCAUAAGGAAUAAAAUAUACUACUACUAUGAACUAUGAAGUUCAUAAGGAUGGAUAGUUGGCCCAUCAUUCACACAAUUUUCUUGUUCAGGCAAGAAGUGUUUUGUUCUGUCAAAAGCUAGUGACACCUCGUAUUCACUGAGUGGUGGGACUAGUUGUAAAAAGAAGCACACUAGAUUUCUACGCAACCGCUAAAUGAUUCAAGUAAUGUGCAAUGGAACGGGUAAUUGGUUGCUCCGUAGAGAAAGCAGGAAAGCGGAUAAAAUGCAUUACAUCAAGUGAAUGUUGCUGUCAAAGUAUUUGAACUUUUUGGAUUUUUGUCUGACCUGAAAGUGCCCAAAAAAUAUGCCCUUAGUGACAUUGUAAGAGCAUAUAGUUCUUCAAUAGAAGACAGUGUUCACAAAUGCAUCAAAGUGCAGAAUAUCGGGGCAAGUUUGAAAAAGUUUGUGUACAAUCCUAAUUGAGGGAUGUGUGCUGCCUUCAUUUUAUGCCAAGUUCCACGAUAUCUGAUUGUCAGACUGGAAAGUAAAAUAAGUUGGUUGGUCUGGGUGGAUAGUUCAAUAUAAAAGUUGAAGCUCAGAA
This is a long non-coding RNA of Daphnia carinata, 1155 nucleotides long. RefSeq lists it as uncharacterized. The transcript is spliced from 5 exons. NCBI's taxonomy places the organism in Eukaryota, Metazoa, Arthropoda, Branchiopoda, Diplostraca, Daphniidae. The record is from RefSeq and is a predicted model, not a curated record.